Molecule: ribosomal RNA, 450 nt
Filed under: uncultured bacterium
Lineage: Bacteria
Description: bacterial SSU rRNA
Rfam family: Bacterial small subunit ribosomal RNA
Source: RNAcentral
GUCGAGAAUAAUUCACAAUGGACGAAAGUCUGAUGGUGCAACGCCGCGUGGAGGAUGAAGGUCUUCGGAUUGUAAACUCCUGUCAUCGGGGAGUAAGACCUGGCGGUAAAUAGCCGACAGGGUUGAUAGUACCCGAAGAGGAAGGGACGGCUAACUUCGUGCCAGCAGCCGCGGUAAUACGAAGGUCCCAAGCGUUGUUCGGAAUCACUGGGCGUAAAGGGAGCGUAGGCGGCGUGGUAAGUCAGAUGUGAAAUCCCGGGGCUCAACCCCGGAACUGCAUCCGAUGCUGCCAUGCUUGAGGGGUGGAGAGGUAGCUGGAAUUCUCGGUGUAGCAGUGAAAUGCGUGGAUAUCGAGAGGAACACUCGUGGCGAAGGCGAGCUACUGGACAACAUCUGACGCUGAGGCUCGAAGGCCAGGGGAGCAAAAGGGAUUAGAUACCCCUGUAGUCC